GCGUCUGCAAAAUCAGGCGUCGGGAUUGGAACCCCGGAUUAUUCAUACUGGCGACACAUUUUUU
RNAcentral lists this small RNA (64 nucleotides) under Escherichia coli. RNAcentral describes it as "isrK". It matches the Rfam family "isrK Hfq binding RNA". RNAcentral also lists the same sequence under 15 other names. Lineage: Bacteria; Pseudomonadati; Pseudomonadota; Gammaproteobacteria; Enterobacterales; Enterobacteriaceae. The record is from RNAcentral.